This 628-nucleotide long non-coding RNA is filed under the name Zostera marina. RNAcentral's name for it is "long non-coding RNA (ZMAR_LNC001685)". Lineage: Eukaryota; Viridiplantae; Streptophyta; Magnoliopsida; Alismatales; Zosteraceae. The record is from RNAcentral.
GCCACAGAGCCGAAGGCGAGAAGAACAGGAACGAUCCGUGCGGUAGCGGAGAAAGUCAUGGCCGUUGAUGAGGUGAAUGACCGUAUCUGAACAAUGCCUUGAUUAGAAAACCGACCGACAUUCGUUUUUUUUAUAUAUUUGGAAUGUGCAGGUAGAAAAGAUGAGGGAAAAGAUGGUUAACGAUGCUGAAAGAUUUGCAAAGGAAGAAAAGGAGAGAAGGAAUUCAAUAUACGCUAAGAAACAUGCUGAUUCCGUUGUUUACAAAACAGAAAAUCAGUUGAAGAAUGCUGGACAAAAUGUACCGCCCUCUACGAAAGACAAGAUAGAGGCCAAGCUUGGGGAGCUUAAAGAUGCCACAUCCAAUGGCAUAGCAGAACCCAUCAAAGAUGCAAUAACUGCAGUCAACAAAGAGGUUAUGCAAAUAAGUGACCUGUUAUCGUUAUCUUCGUCAUCAGCAACAGCAGCAGCAGAAAUUAAAGUUACGGCCAAAAAUAUGCAUGUGUCUGUUUUCAAAGCUCGAAGAGUACUGGAGCAGAUUCGAGGACGUACCUACGAGGAUGCACUGAUGAUACUCGAACUCAUGCCUUAUCGAGCAUCUUAUCCGAUAUUAAAAUUGGUUUACUCUGCA